CUCCAGUUGAUCGCAUGGUCUUCUGGGAAAGCUUUCGCGGUAUGGGAUGGGGUCGCGUCCUAUCAGCUUGACGGCGGGGUAACGGCCCACCGUGGCUUCGACGGGUAGCCGGCCUGAGAGGGCGACCGGCCACAUUGGGGCUGAGAUACGGCCCAGACUCCUACGGGAGGCAGCAGUGGGGAAUAUUGCACAAUGGGCGCAAGCCUGAUGCAGCGACGCCGCGUGAGGGAUGGAGGCCUUCGGGUUGUAAACCUCUUUUAUCGGGGAGCAAGCGAGAGUGAGUUUACCCGUUGAAUAAGCACCGGCUAACUACGUGCCAGCAGCCGCGGUAAUACGUAGGGUGCAAGCGUUAUCCGGAAUUAUUGGGCGUAAAGGGCUCGUAGGCGGUUCGUCGCGUCCGGUGUGAAAGUCCAUCGCUUAACGGUGGAUCCGCGCCGGGUACGGGCGGG
RNAcentral lists this ribosomal RNA (449 nucleotides) under uncultured Bifidobacterium sp. Its description in RNAcentral is "bacterial SSU rRNA". It matches the Rfam family "Bacterial small subunit ribosomal RNA", at positions 173 to 640 of the family's 1533-position model. Lineage: Bacteria; Bacillati; Actinomycetota; Actinomycetes; Bifidobacteriales; Bifidobacteriaceae. The record is from RNAcentral.